Molecule: unclassified non-coding RNA, 733 nt
Filed under: Hevea brasiliensis (rubber tree)
Lineage: Eukaryota; Viridiplantae; Streptophyta; Magnoliopsida; Malpighiales; Euphorbiaceae
Source: RNAcentral
GAAAAAGAAGAAAAAGAAAAAGAACAAGAAAAAUCAACAGGAUGGCAAAGCUGUUACUGAGGUUGAAAAAGAUAAGAAGAAUGAAUCACAGGAAGAGAAUGCAGGGACUAAGCCUUCUCAUGCGAGGACAUUUGGAAAUGGAUUGGUCAUAGAGGAGCUGGCUAUGGGCAAGCCAGAUGGGAAAAAAGCUUCCCCUGGAAAGAAGGUUGGUGUACGUUAUAUUGGCAAGCUGAAGAAGAAUGGCAAAAUAUUCGAUUCCAAUAUUGGGAAAAGACCUUUUGAAUUUCGCUUAGGUAUUGGUCAAGUUAUAAAGGGUUGGGAUGUUGGUGUAAAUGGCAUGCGCGUUGGUGACAAAAGAAGGAUCACAAUCCCACCAGCCAUGGGUUAUGGGGCUAAAGGCGCUGGUCGUGACAUACCACCCAAUUCAUGGCUGGUAUUUGACGUUGAGCUGGUAAACGUUAAUUGACCUUGCCUUCAUAUUGUGGACGUUUUUGCCUGUUCAGCAUAAUUCUAAAAUUGUUGUCAUAGUAUUCUUUUUAUGCAAAAACGAGUUGGCUUCAUUUGCGGGGAGAACUUGUACAAAUUAUACAAGUAGAGCAGGGGUUACCAUUUUUGUAAGAUGACUCAAUUUCCGAUUCCUGCUAAAAUUUUGAAGUAUUGUUGUAUGACUUGUCGGAGAGUACUGUUGGAAGACCAAAAUCCUUGGAUGAUCAUGUUUUGCUUUCGAUAUACU